Long non-coding RNA from Felis catus (domestic cat), 1012 nucleotides. RefSeq lists it as uncharacterized. The transcript is spliced from 2 exons. NCBI's taxonomy places the organism in Eukaryota, Metazoa, Chordata, Mammalia, Carnivora, Felidae. The record is from RefSeq and is a predicted model, not a curated record.
ACGCUUUCGGGGACUAGGUGGAUAGUGAAUCUUUGGUUUUAUAGAUGGGGAAAUUGAGGCUCUGAGCUAGUUGUUGGUAUUGAAUCAGUGUCACAAGGGAUUUGGUUUGUCUUUAGACAUCUUGAACCCCAAACUAAGGCUCUAGCAAUUGAGUUUUCAAGCUUCUCAGUAAUUAAUAGGCAGAUGGUUUUCCUUCUUUAGCUUCCUUCCUCCCUCCCUCCUUUCCUUCCUUUUUUCUUUUCUUCCUUCCUUCCAUCCUUCAUUCCUUCCUUUCUUCCUUCAUCCUUCUCCCCAUUUGUCCCACCUGCCCUUCUUUCUAUCUUAAUCUUCAUACCCAUCUUCUCUCUUCCUUUACAUUGCCUUCCAUCUUUUCUUUCCUGUUUAUUGUUCUUUCAGUAAAAAUGGUAACAAUAAAAAGUAUGGAGAAUUGAAGAACAAAGAAAUGAUUUUAAAAUUUCAGGAGAGUGAUUUCUUCUGGGAGUGAAGGAGGAGAGUGUGUUAUAGUAGAGGGGAUUAGGGGUUCAUCCAUUUUACUGUGGGACUUGAACAAACACACCCUAACCCCUCUCCAGCUCUGUUUUCUCAUAUCAUCAGGGGUUGCGCUCAGUUAUCUUCAAAGGCUUUUCCAGAUCUUACAUUCUCUGAGUCCAUAAAAACAGAUUGUGUAAGAUAAAACUUUGGUUUCCUUGCUCUGGGCUAGAUGUCCUGAAUAUAGUAGAUAGAUAAGGGUCAUGGGAAUAUUACUUAACUUCUCUGUGUCUUAAUUCCUUAUCUGUGAAAUGUGGACAACAAUAGUACCUCGUUGUGAAAAUUACUACAGUACAUGGACAUGGGCAGGAGGAGGACUUAUCUGAUGCCACAGACCAGUGGCUUUCAGAGAGGGUACACGUAAUUGUCUGCUGUCUGCCGUCUGCGGUUGCUCACUGUGUCAGUGACUGGGUAAAGUGUUUCCACUUCAGCCACAUCCUCCAGUCCAGCUUUGUCAGUAGUAAAGAUGACAUUUUGAUCUCUA